UAGUUUUGUCCAAAGUCAAAUUUAUCUAACUCUAACCAAAUUUAUACAAAAAAUCUAUUAAUAUCUACAAUACCAAAUAUAUACACUAUCAAGACAUUUCAUGGUGGAUUUAAUCAAACUAAUUUGAUGUUGUAGAUAUUGAGGAACUUUUCUAUAAACUUGGUCAAAAUUAGAUAAGUUUGACUUAGGACAAAACUAA
Molecule: microRNA precursor, 199 nt
Filed under: Dichanthelium oligosanthes
Lineage: Eukaryota; Viridiplantae; Streptophyta; Magnoliopsida; Poales; Poaceae
Description: MIR1435 microRNA precursor family
Rfam family: MIR1435 microRNA precursor family
Source: Rfam by way of RNAcentral